UCUUUUGAGAGGAAAGUCCGGGCUCCAUCGGACAAGAUGCCAGGUAACACCUGGGAAGCGUGAGCUUACGGAAAGUGCAGCAGAAAAUAUACCGCCUUUUUUAAGGUAAGGGUGAAAAGGUACGGUAAGAGCGUACCGCUUAAAUGGUAACAUUUAAGGCAUUGCAAACCCCAUCUGGAGCAAGACCAAAUAGAGGUUCUAUAGUUAGUCCAGACUGAACCCGGGUAGGUUGCUUGAGCUAAUUGGCGACAGUUAGCCUAGAUGAAUGAUUAUCCUAGACAGAACCCGGCUUAUAGAUCAGCUCA
Molecule: RNase P RNA, 305 nt
Filed under: marine eukaryotic metagenome
Description: Bacterial RNase P class A
Rfam family: Bacterial RNase P class A
About the family: Ribonuclease P (RNase P) is a ubiquitous endoribonuclease, found in archaea, bacteria and eukarya as well as chloroplasts and mitochondria. Its best characterised activity is the generation of mature 5'-ends of tRNAs by cleaving the 5'-leader elements of precursor-tRNAs.
Source: RNAcentral